Molecule: ribosomal RNA, 301 nt
Filed under: uncultured bacterium
Lineage: Bacteria
Description: partial 16S ribosomal RNA
Rfam family: Bacterial small subunit ribosomal RNA
Source: RNAcentral
CAGUCGCCGCGGUAAUACGUAGGGUGUGAGCGUUAAUCGGAAUUACUGGGCGUAAAGCGUGCGCAGGCGGCUUUGCAAGACAGAUGUGAAAUCCCCGGGCUCAACCUGGGAACUGCAUUUGUGACUGCAAGGCUAGAGUGCGGCAGGGGGAGAUGGAAUUCCGCGUGUAGCAGUGAAAUGCGUAGAUAUGCGGAGGAACACCGAUGGCGAAGGCAAUCUCCUGGGCCAAUACUGACGCUCAUGCACGAAGGCGUGGGGAGCAAACAGGAUUAGAUACCCCAGUAGUCCCUGUCUCUUAUAC